AGACGCUGGCGGCAGGCCUAACACAUGCAAGUCGAACGAAGUCUUCGGACUUAGUGGCGGACGGGUUAGUAACGCGUGGGAACGUGCCCUUUACUUCGGAAUAGUCCCGGGAAACUGGGUUUAAUACCGAAUACGCCCUUUGGGGGAAAGAUUUAUCGGUAAAGGAUCGGCCCGCGUUGGAUUAGGUAGUUGGUGGGGUAAUGGCCUACCAAGCCGACGAUCCAUAGCUGGUUUGAGAGGAUGAUCAGCAACACUGGGACUGAGACACGGCCCAGACUCCUACGGGAGGCAGCAGUGGGGAAUCUUAGACAAUGGGGGCAACCCUGAUCUAGCCAUGCCGCGUGAGUGAAGAAGGCCUUAGGGUCGUAAAGCUCUUUCGCCAGGGAUGAUAAUGACAGUACCUGGUAAAGAAACCCCGGCUAACUCCGUGCCAGCAGCCGCGGUAAUACGGAGGGGGUUAGCGUUGUUCGGAAUUACUGGGCGUAAAGCGCACGUAGGCGGACUUGAAAGUUGGGGGUGAAAUCCCGGGGC
RNAcentral lists this ribosomal RNA (531 nucleotides) under uncultured prokaryote. RNAcentral's name for it is "bacterial SSU rRNA". It matches the Rfam family "Bacterial small subunit ribosomal RNA", at positions 31 to 608 of the family's 1533-position model. The record is from RNAcentral.